AAAAAAAAAAAAAGACACAGAAAAAGCACGCCUAGAUUUGGAAGAUAUGAAAAUAAGGAAGGAGUUGCACCUAAAAAGGCAUGCCGAUGGGUCUUUUGAAAAGCCCCCAGCAUUGUACACUUUGUCCUUAGAUGAAAGGCAUGGUUUCUGUGAGUUUUUGAAGUCUAUUAAGUAUCCUGAUGGUUAUGCCGCAAGCAUCUCAAGGUGUGUGAGCACAAAAGGUGAUAAGUUAACAAGAGUAAAAUGUCAUGAUUGUCAUGUCCUUCUACAGCGACUUCUUUCCAUUAGAAUGCAUGGAUAUCUUCAUAAUGAUAUUUGUGUCGCAUUAUUUGAGUUUGGAAAUUUCUUCCAAGAGCUUUGCUCGAAGACAUUGAAGGUAAAGGAUUUGGAAAAAAUAGAAGAUCGCAUAGUACUCAUACUAUGCAAGCUGGAGAAAAUUUUUCCACCAGCAUUUUUUGAUGUGAUGGUCCAUUUGGCCAUUCAUUUGCCGCGCGAAGCCAUUCUUGGUGGGCCUGGGCAAUAUCAGUGGAUGUACCCCAUUGAAAGGUACUUACUAAUUUCUUAAUUUACUAGAAUACUUAAAUUUUAGCAAAACAUGUAUAUAUUUAUAAAAAUGUGAGUGUGCGUGUAAUAAGAUUAUUCUAUUGCUUGUUUCAUAGGCUACUUGGAACUUUAAAAGGAUAUGUCACAAAUUGAGCUCGUCCAGAAGGUUCGAUCAUAGAAGCUUAUGUUGUCAAGGAGUGUCUCACAUUUUGCUCAAUGUAUCUGGGUGGCAUUGAAAUUGUUAAUCAAGAUGAAUGAAAUGUCGAUGUUGGUGUGCAUGAGUUGGGGUUAGAGGUCUUCACACAAAAUGUUUGUCCUCUUGGGCUAAUUACAAGGGCUUCUGACGUGUCUUAGAAAGAAUGUGAAAUGGCUCAUUGGUUCAUCUUGAAUAAUAGCCUCAAGUUGGACCAUUAUCUAGAGUACAUUCUUAUUAUUGGUUUGUGGUAGAAUUAUGUUUUCAAUAUAAUAUGUUACUUAUCAAUCAUAUAUUUGUAAGUAGGCAACACAAAAAUCUUUUAGAAAAUCAAGGUACACGUGACAUCACAAAGAGACAGAAAAAAGAAUUCCCCAAGUCGUUCAAAGAACAUGUAAGAUAUAAUCCUAGACUUUAUUCAGCUAUACUUAUAUGAAGACUAACAUAAUGAUUGAAAUUAAUGUCAUUAUGUAGAUGAACCAAUUACGAGCUCAAGGAUUACCAGAAGCAACUGAUGAUUUAUGGUCAUUAGCAAAUGGUCCUAAUGUGAAUGUUAAUUUGUAUUAAGCUUGCAUUUCGAAUGGUGUUCGAUUUCAUAGUAAGGAUCAUGAUAGUAGUCAUAAAUGCCAAAACAUUGGGUUAGUUGUGGAAGGGAAGCAUGAGGGACAAACAAUUGAAUUUUAUGGGUACUUGAAUAGAGUGUGGGAAAUGCAUUACAUACUUGGAUAUCGAGUUGUUGUAUUCCAAUGCGAAUGGUUCAACGCUGGUAGCAAUAGAACAUUACAUAUCGAUACACAUUGCACAAGUAUUGAUGUUAGAAGUCGAUGGUAUAAAGUUGAUCCAUUUGUCUUACCAAGUCAUGUGAAACAAGUUUUUUAUGUUGAUGACAAAGUUAGGUGGACAUUGGAAAGUCGUAGAAAGACUACAACAUUGAGGAAUAUGGGAUGUACCAAAACAAGAUGGCAUUGAACCUGAUGAUGUAUUCCAACAGAAUGAAACAACUGAUGUUGUCCCAGUCAGCGUUGAAGACCCCGUCACAAUCUAACUUCAUAGGAAUGACAUUGAUCCUCAAAUUAUCCCAAUUAAGGUGGUCUUACAAUCAGUUAGUUAAGCACACAGCGAUGGUGUUGAUGAUGAAGAGGGGCACGAUAAUGAAGAUGAUUACUACAAGCAUUGACUAUCCGAGAAGAUGGUGGGUCCUGGUAAAGUUCGAAGUGCGGCAUCAUCCAAAGUUCUUCUACCUACCCAGCAAGCUGCAGCUAGAGUUGCUGUCCCUACUCAACAUGCACCAGCUAAUUUAACCCCAUCUCCUCAGAGUGUACCAUCUACAAAUGCUCUAAGUAUCCAGCUUGCACCAUCUACAAAUGCAACUACUACCCAGGCUGCACCAUCUACAAAUGCAACUACUACCUAGGAUGCACCAUUUAAAACUAGUUUGCAUACUCGUCCUAGACAAGUAAGGGUUCAGACUCGAGGGAAGAGCAUAGCAUGUUUCAUAGUUAAUAAUGGUGGUGAAAAACUUCAUGUUUGGAUCCUUGCAGAUGCAAAGGUGCUAGUAGGGUCUUAUGCCACUCCAUUUGCAAAUGAACUUGACUUACAGAUAAGGAUGGCUGCACCAAUCAUUGGUAUAAAAAAGUGGGAUAAGAUUGAUAAGGUUCAUAAAGCCCCAAUCAUUCGAGCAGUUUGGGUACAUGUAUUUGCUAUUUUUAAAAUAAUUAGAUUCUCACAAUUACUUGCAUUUUGAUAUUAAUAAAAGUAUUCAUUAUAUUUGCAAGAUAAA
Molecule: non-coding RNA, 2516 nt
Organism: Camellia sinensis
Lineage: Eukaryota; Viridiplantae; Streptophyta; Magnoliopsida; Ericales; Theaceae
Source: RefSeq, a predicted model, not a curated record